UACGGGGGGAGCAAGCGUUGUUCGGAUUUACUGGGCGUAAAGGGCGCGUAGGCGGUCAGCACAAGUCAGUUGUGAAAUCUCCGGGCUUAACUCGGAAAGGUCAACUGAUACUGUGCGACUAGAGUACGGUAGAGGGGGAUGGAAUUCCGCGUGUAGCAGUGAAAUGCGUAGAUAUGCGGAGGAACACCGAUGGCGAAGGCAAUCCCCUGGACCUGUACUGACGCUCAUGCACGAAAGCGUGGGGAGCAAACAGG
RNAcentral lists this ribosomal RNA (254 nucleotides) under uncultured bacterium. RNAcentral's name for it is "partial 16S ribosomal RNA". It matches the Rfam family "Bacterial small subunit ribosomal RNA", at positions 524 to 776 of the family's 1533-position model. The record is from RNAcentral.